Molecule: ribosomal RNA, 427 nt
Filed under: uncultured bacterium
Lineage: Bacteria
Description: bacterial SSU rRNA
Rfam family: Bacterial small subunit ribosomal RNA
Source: RNAcentral
GAACGCGAGGCGCCCUUUCGGGGGCGUAGUAGAGUGGCGCACGGGUGAGUAACACGUAGACAACCUGCCUUCGAGCCCGGGAUAACCUUUCGAAAGAAGGGCUAAUACCGGAUAACACUGAGGGGCGCAUGCCUCUUGGUUGAAAGGCUUGCUACUCGAAGAGGGGUCUGCGGGACAUUAGCUAGUUGGUGGGGUAACGGCCUACCAAGGCUCUGAUGUCUAGCGGGUCUGAGAGGAUGAUCCGCCACACUGGAACUGAGACACGGUCCAGACUCCUACGGGAGGCAGCAGUGGGGAAUUUUGCGCAAUGGGGGCAACCCUGACCGAGCAACGCCGCGUGCAGGAAGAAGGUCUUCGGAUCGUAAACUGCUUUUCUCGGGGAAGAGAGAGGACGGUACCCGAGGAAUCAGCCCCGGCUAACUACGUG